CGAGUAAGACAUGGGACCGCAUGAAUAAUACAUGAGGAAAGUCCGAGCUCCAUAGGGCAGAGUGCCGGGUAACGCCCGGUGGAGGCGACUCCAAGGAAAGUGCAACAGAAAUAAACCGCCGCUUAUGCGGUAAGGAUGGAAAGGCGAGGUAAGAGCUCACCGGCGGCUUGGCGACUUGACCGCCCUGUAAACCCCACUCGGUGCAAGAUUGGAAUGAGAGCAUUUAAUGGCUGCCCGCUACGCUCUUGGUAAUCGCUUGAGUCUAUAGGCAACUAUAGACCUAGAUAGAUGGUCCCACUUUGACAGAACUCGGCUUACGGCUUGCUCGAAUU
This 332-nucleotide RNase P RNA is filed under the name Clostridiales bacterium. RNAcentral's name for it is "RNase P RNA component class A". It matches the Rfam family "Bacterial RNase P class A". Rfam says of the family: Ribonuclease P (RNase P) is a ubiquitous endoribonuclease, found in archaea, bacteria and eukarya as well as chloroplasts and mitochondria. Its best characterised activity is the generation of mature 5'-ends of tRNAs by cleaving the 5'-leader elements of precursor-tRNAs. Lineage: Bacteria; Bacillati; Bacillota; Clostridia; Eubacteriales. The record is from RNAcentral.